GGGUUGUGAGGUUAAGCGACUAAGCGUACACGGUGGAUGCCCUGGCAGUCAGAGGCGAUGAAGGACGUGCUAAUCUGCGAUAAGCGUCGGUGAGGUGAUAUGAACCGUUAUAACCGGCGAUUUCCGAAUGGGGAAACCCAGUGUGUUUCGACACACUAUCAUUAACUGAAUCCAUAGGUUAAUGAGGCGAACCGGGGGAACUGAAACAUCUAAGUACCCCGAGGAAAAGAAAUCAACCGAGAUUCCCCCAGUAGCGGCGAGCGAACGGGGAGGAGCCCAGAGCCUGAAUCAGUGUGUGUGUUAGUGGAAGCGUCUGGAAAGGCGCGCGAUACAGGGUGACAGCCCCGUACACAAAAAUGCACAUAUUGUGAGCUCGAUGAGUAGGGCGGGACACGUGGUAUCCUGUCUGAAUAUGGGGGGACCAUCCUCCAAGGCUAAAUACUCCUGACUGACCGAUAGUGAACCAGUACCGUGAGGGAAAGGCGAAAAGAACCCCGGCGAGGGGAGUGAAAAAGAACCUGAAACCGUGUACGUACAAGCAGUGGGAGCCUCUUAAUGGGGUGACUGCGUACCUUUUGUAUAAUGGGUCAGCGACUUAUAUUCUGUAGCAAGGUUAACCGAAUAGGGGAGCCGAAGGGAAACCGAGUCUUAACUGGGCGUUAAGUUGCAGGGUAUAGACCCGAAACCCGGUGAUCUAGCCAUGGGCAGGUUGAAGGUUGGGUAACACUAACUGGAGGACCGAACCGACUAAUGUUGAAAAAUUAGCGGAUGACUUGUGGCUGGGGGUGAAAGGCCAAUCAAACCGGGAGAUAGCUGGUUCUCCCCGAAAGCUAUUUAGGUAGCGCCUCGUGAAUUCAUCUCCGGGGGUAGAGCACUGUUUCGGCAAGGGGGUCAUCCCGACUUACCAACCCG
This 912-nucleotide ribosomal RNA is filed under the name Escherichia coli. RNAcentral's name for it is "partial 23S ribosomal RNA". It matches the Rfam family "Bacterial large subunit ribosomal RNA", at positions 1 to 946 of the family's 2925-position model. The record is from RNAcentral. Lineage: Bacteria; Pseudomonadati; Pseudomonadota; Gammaproteobacteria; Enterobacterales; Enterobacteriaceae.